AGACCAUCACACCUCUCUGUGCUCUCUCUGCUCUCUGCUUUCUUCAUCUCCAGGUCUCCCAUCUGUCCCUGUCUCUACCAUCCUCAUCCUCACUCUGUCUCUCCAUGGGAGUCAUGUCCUCCCCCAGGUUCCUGUCACUUCAUCUGCUUGGAGCCUUGCUGCUGCCGCUGCUGCUGCUGCCUGGUUCUUGGGCCCAGCAUUAUGAUGAUUUCACAUCAUCUCCAGAUUACGACUCUGACUACAACUCCACCUUUGAGUACAGCUUCUUCAGUAAUACGAGCAGCGAGGACCUGGACAGACUUGUGGAACGCUACCUCGAUCCAGACGAAACUACGGAGGACACUGGAGGACCAGAGGAGGAAGUGGCUGUAACCAUGGUGAUUACAAGAAGAACAACAGAGGGGGUCAACGCUCACGGCACUGCACCAUUUCAGUGGCUCUCAUACACCUUCGUAAUUUUCAGCUUCGCCACUUCUUCCACACUAAAGUGUCCAGGUUGGGUCACUGUUGGACGUCCUAUAGAUGUCCAGAAUUGGUCAUGGACCGGCAGACCCAAUAUAGACCUGACGUCCAAUGUCCAGUGGGUGAGCUGUGCCCUCUCCCCUCCUACAAGGUCCACAGUCUGUGAUCUGUGCUCUGAUUUGUCUGGAUCAGUAAAAACAUUAAAAUCAACGUUAUUCAUACAGCAGCUUUAACAAAAGUCCUUCAAAGAGCAUCACGAGUGGCUGCGCAAACACAAACAGUAAAACAAUUACAGACAACAAUCAGCAAAGAAGAAAUAAACAUAACAAACAUAGAUCAUUUAAAUACAACCUCAAAAACAGCAGCGAUGUGAAAAAUACAAUAAACUUCUAUUUAUUGGAAACAAACCAAAAGUGACACCUAGUGGUCUUAACGGGAUAUGACAUCAGAUCGCUGCAGACCUCCAUCUGGAACAACGAGAAUCACAACUCUUCAUUAUUCAGAGCAGAAGCAUCACCGUGUGGCACAAACAGAGGAGACAGAGAUCUCUGCUCCUGUGUUUCAUACACAACCACAGGAUGAAGCUUUAUUAGCACAACAACACCAAACAGAAACAGUGACAACAUGUCACUAACUGGUGCACCCGUCUCAGUCCACACUCAGUAGAACAAACGGUUGUAGUUAUGUUAUAAAUGAACAUUAAAAACAAGAGAUUCCGUUUUAAACCACAACAGUCACCUCGAGGUGCUUUUUACUGUAAGGUCGACCCUACAGUGAUACAUAUGAAGAGUCAACAAUUCUAUAAAUAUAAAUAUCAACACUUCACGAGUUCUUUUGAUUCCUCAGAGGCAGCCGAUGGAAGACAGCACACUGCUCAGUAGACCAUUCAACACUUUAUUACUUCUAGAAGGGAGAUGCGUCCUGCACAACACGUUGCUGCAGAUCUCAAAAUGCUGGUGUGCCCC
Long non-coding RNA from Astatotilapia calliptera (eastern happy), 1427 nucleotides. Lineage: Eukaryota; Metazoa; Chordata; Actinopteri; Cichliformes; Cichlidae. The record is from Ensembl.